GUCCACGCCAUAAACGAUGGAUGCUAGGUGUUGUGGGUAUUGACCCCCGCAGUGCCGCAGUUAACGCAUUAAGCAUCCCGCCUGGGGAGUACGGCCGCAAGGCUAAAACUCAAAGGAAUUGACGGGGGCCCCGCACAAGCGGUGGAGCAUGUGGUUCAAUUCGACGCAACGCGAAGAACCUUACCUGGGUUAAAUCCAUCGGAACACUGCAGAGAUGUGGUGGUGCCCUUCGGGGAGCCGAUGAGACGGUGCUGCAUGGCUGUCGU
This 266-nucleotide ribosomal RNA is filed under the name uncultured bacterium. RNAcentral's name for it is "partial 16S ribosomal RNA". It matches the Rfam family "Bacterial small subunit ribosomal RNA", at positions 793 to 1055 of the family's 1533-position model. The record is from RNAcentral.